CCGAUAGUUAUGUGGCCUUCAAGGUGAUUAUCAUUUAAUGAUCCAGCUCCCUCCGGUUCUUCGUAUUUUGUUUUUGAAUUCCAUAGUCCUUUCGUGAUGCGGUAGUGUUUGGCUGUUUGGUAUAUGAGUUUGAAAGAGGAGCUGAAUUAGAGAAAAUGUCGCCGUCUGAAUCCGCUUUCCUUUUUUUGAAUUUUCUCGGACUGUUUUGUUAGUUUUUUUGAAUUUCUCGAUACGAAUCAGCUUGGCAUCUCAUGGUUAGACGUGGGGAUUCUUGUUGAAUGUAGAGAUUAGAUUGUUCUUGGUUCGUUAAUUGCUGUUUGGAUAUCUAAUGUGUGGAAAUGAUAGGUCAAGACAAC
This 356-nucleotide long non-coding RNA is filed under the name Linum usitatissimum (flax). RNAcentral's name for it is "long non-coding RNA (LUSI_LNC001250)". Lineage: Eukaryota; Viridiplantae; Streptophyta; Magnoliopsida; Malpighiales; Linaceae. The record is from RNAcentral.